RNAcentral lists this transfer RNA (72 nucleotides) under Nicotiana attenuata. It matches the Rfam family "tRNA". From Rfam's summary of the family: Transfer RNA (tRNA) molecules are approximately 80 nucleotides in length. Lineage: Eukaryota; Viridiplantae; Streptophyta; Magnoliopsida; Solanales; Solanaceae. The record is from Rfam by way of RNAcentral.
UCCGUUAUCGUCCAGCGGUUAGGAUAUCUGGCUUUCACCCAGGAGACCCGGGUUCGAUUCCCGAUAACGAAA